Molecule: ribosomal RNA, 433 nt
Filed under: uncultured bacterium
Lineage: Bacteria
Description: partial 16S ribosomal RNA
Rfam family: Bacterial small subunit ribosomal RNA
Source: RNAcentral
AACGAACGCUGGCGGCAGGCCUAACACAUGCAAGUCGAGCGGACCCUUCGGGGUUAGCGGCGGACGGGUGAGUAACGCGUGGGAAUAUGCCCUUCUCUACGGAAUAGUCCUGGGAAACUGGGGGUAAUACCGUAUACGCCCUUUGGGGGAAAGAUUUAUCGGGGAAGGAUUAGCCCGCGUUGGAUUAGGUAGUUGGUGGGGUAAUGGCCUACCAGGCCGACGAUCCAUAGCUGGUUUGAGAGGAUGAUCAGCCACACUGGGACUGAGACACGGCCCAGACUCCUACGGGAGGCAGCAGUGGGGAAUCUUAGACAAUGGGGGCAACCCUGAUCUAGCCAUGCCGCGUGAGUGAUGAAGGCCUUAGGGUUGUAAAGCUCUUUCAGCUGGGAAGAUAAUGACGGUACCAGCAGAAGAAGCCCCGGCUAACUCCGUG